Long non-coding RNA from Tachysurus fulvidraco (yellow catfish), 1237 nucleotides. RefSeq lists it as uncharacterized. NCBI's taxonomy places the organism in Eukaryota, Metazoa, Chordata, Actinopteri, Siluriformes, Bagridae. The transcript is spliced from 2 exons. The record is from RefSeq and is a predicted model, not a curated record.
GAUAGUUUAUUGUUGUGACAUCAGAUAGUAAUAACGUAUCGGAGAGGGUAAAGGAGGUGUCAGGUUCAUGGUGAUUGAGGUACUCUUCCGGUUUCCGGUAAGGCCAGGUUCAUUUUGAGGUACUCUUCCGGUUUCCGGUUCCGUGUGUCAACAGAGGUGCUGGGUGUUACUGGUGCGGCUGGCGGCGUGGCGGUUCUGAUUUGUUUCCAGUCACCUUCAGUUACCUGGGAGUGCUUUGCAACGGAACGAGAAAAGGGUCAAAACAAACUCUUUUGCGACAGACUGUGUACCUUCAGGUAUGUGAGUUUGUUAUCCAUCUUACGUGGGACGCUAGUGUAAAUGUCAGGUGGUGUAGUGUUUGUUUUGUAUUCCCCCUGUCAGCGUUCUUUGGUUACCCGAUGUCUAUCUCUCUCCGGGUUAUUACCGAACCAGUGCUGCAUCUAUGAUUUGGUGUGGCGGACGGCUGUAUUUCUCCGGUAUGCAAUAGCAUUUUAUUUAAGAGUUUUAUAUCUUUUUUAAAUAGCAUUUAUUUAUUGUGCGUAACAUUUCCUGUUAGGUUCUGAGUUGAGGCUGCACAUUGUUCCCAGGACAACGCUGCUGUUUUGUUCCAUGUUAAAUUUGUGUUUUGUGUUAAAUUGCUUUGUUCUUUGCUAAAUUGAUUUUUGUUGUAAUUGUUUUCUUUUGGUUUCUUAUGUUUCUUGAUUUCGGUAUCAAUAGUUACCCUGUUACGGUGCCUUAAGGAUUACCUUGAGGUAGGAAGCCUUCCGCUGAAGUUAGUGCAGUAACUAGUUAUUCUUUUGUUACUUUAUUUAUUGGUUCUGUUUUGAAAUCUAGUUUAUAUAUUUUCUUAGAUUAAUUUUCUUUUCUCCUGGGUUUUGUAAACUUUCAUUCUUUGUUUUGUUUAUUUGGUUUUUCUUAAUUUUAGCAUCGUCAGUUUUAACAUAUUGUUGUUUUUUUCUGUUUUGUGAACUCUCUGCAGAAGCCGUAGGCCAAAAGGCCGAGAGGCCUAACUUUCCUUCACUUUCUGCACCGUGUGCUGUGUGACCACCGACAGAAAUUCAGUGAGCGCUGAGUGAGUGUGUUGUGAUUGUGCACAUGCAUGGUGUGGACGUUUACUUCUGUUCCGGCCUGUCUUCUGCCGAUCAGCUGCAGCCCUGCAUGAGUGUUGAUUUCUCUUUUUGUUUAUUUUGAAAUUUUAUUUCCUGUUUGUAUUAAUAAAUGAAAUUUUAUUUUUGUG